AUAGAGGCCUACCAUGGUGGUAACGGGUAACGGGGUGUUAGGGCACGACACCGGAGAGGGAGCCUGAGAAACGGCUACCACAUCCAAGGAUGGCAGCAGGCGCGCAAAUUACCCAAUCCCGACACGGGGAGGUAGUGACAAUAAAUAACAAUACGGGGUUCUUUAGGAUCUCGUAAUUGGAAUGAGUACAAUUUAAAUCUCUUAACGAGGAACAAUUGGAGGGCAAGUCUGGUGCCAGCAGCCGCGGUAAUUCCAGCUCCAAUAGCGUAUAUUAAAGUUGUUGCAGUUAAAAAGCUCGUAGUUGAAUUUCGGGGUUAGUAGGUUGGUCAUGCCUCUGGUAUGUACUGGUCUCACUGAUUCCUCCUUCCUUAUGAACCGUAAUGCCAUUAAUUUGGUGUUGCGGGGAAUUUGGACUGUUACUUUGAAAAAAUUAGAGUGUUUAAAGCAAGCUAACGCUUGAAUACAUUAGCAUGGAAUAAUGAAAUAGGACGUUCGAUCUUAUUUUGUUGGUUUCUAGGAUUGACGUAAUGAUUAAUAGGGAUAGUUGGGGGCAUUAGUAUUCAAUUGUCAGAGGUGAAAUUCUUGGAUUUAUUGAAGACUAACUACUGCGAAAGCAUUUGCCAAGGAUGUUUUCAUUAAUCAAGAACGAAAGUUAGGGAAUCGAAGACGAUCAGAUGCCGUCGUAGUCUUAACCAUAAACUAUGCCGACUAGGGAUCGGAUGA
Molecule: ribosomal RNA, 723 nt
Filed under: uncultured fungus
Lineage: Eukaryota; Fungi
Description: SSU rRNA
Rfam family: Eukaryotic small subunit ribosomal RNA
Source: RNAcentral